This 468-nucleotide ribosomal RNA is filed under the name uncultured Alphaproteobacteria bacterium. RNAcentral describes it as "bacterial SSU rRNA". It matches the Rfam family "Bacterial small subunit ribosomal RNA", at positions 9 to 521 of the family's 1533-position model. Lineage: Bacteria; Pseudomonadati; Pseudomonadota; Alphaproteobacteria. The record is from RNAcentral.
GAGUUUGAUCAUGGCUCAGAACGAACGCUGGCGGCAUGCCUAACACAUGCAAGUCGAACGCUCGGAGCAAUCCGGGAGUGGCGCACGGGUGAGUAACGCGUGGGAACCUGCCUAGUGGUAAGGAAUAACCGCGGGAAACUGCGGCUAAUACCUUAUGAGCCCUACGGGGGAAAGAUUUAUCGCCAUUAGAGGGGCCCGCGUCCGAUUAGCUAGUUGGUGAGGUAACGGCUCACCAAGGCGACGAUCGGUAGCUGGUCUGAGAGGAUGAUCAGCCACACUGGGACUGAGACACGGCCCAGACUCCUACGGGAGGCAGCAGUGGGGAGUAUUGGACAAUGGGGGCAACCCUGAUCCAGCAAUGCCGCGUGAGUGAUGAAGGCCUUAGGGUUGUAAAGCUCUUUCGACGGGGAAGAUGAUGACGGUACCCGUAGAAGAAGCCCCGGCUAACUUCGUGCCAGCCGCCGCAGU